Cucumis sativus (cucumber) is the source of this 851-nucleotide long non-coding RNA. RefSeq lists it as uncharacterized. The transcript is spliced from 5 exons. The record is from RefSeq and is a predicted model, not a curated record. Lineage: Eukaryota; Viridiplantae; Streptophyta; Magnoliopsida; Cucurbitales; Cucurbitaceae.
UUAUUUUCAUUCAUAAGUAAUAUUAAAAAGAAUAUGGAUUAUUAUUAUUGCCUUUUAUACAAAACCCUCUCUCCCGUCAAAUUUCUUCCCCAUCCUUCUUCCAACGGUAACUCUCUCUACUUCCUCUCCCCUCUCCCCUUCUCUUUCGCUCUCUGUGAGUAACCCAUCUUGCCGAUCCACACCAUCAUCUUCUCCUAGCCCUAACGGCGCCAGAAUCAAGAGCGGCAGACCCCUCGGAAACCCAAUUCGUCUUCCAAAGUCCUUUUGUUCCACCGUCACCGUCAGAUCCCGACUCCAUGGUUCUUGAUUCCAAACCCUCGCCGGCUAAGUUGAAGAGCCCGCUUCCACCUAGGUCUCCCUCUUCUAACCCACUUAAGCGGAAGGUAUGAAGACCGUUCCUGAGAAUUCCAUCUCUGGAUUGUCUGAUUCGGGUAUGAAGGUGGUAGUGCGCUUGCUGCCGCCAUCCAAGGACGGAGAUGAAGGGGAUAAUAUAAUACAAAAGGUUAUGUGUCGAUGAAGUUAGCGGACAGUGGGCAGAUGCAGAUGAAUUCUUUAAUGAGGAACAGGCUAUGUGAAAGAGACCAGGCUAUUCGCAAACUGGAAAGGGAAAUAGAAGAUAAAGAUAGGGAAUUGCAAUCAAUUAAAUUAGACAACGACGCAGCUUGGGCCAAGGAUGAUCUUCUGCGGGAACAAGAUAAGGAAAUAGCAACUUAAAGUGGAAGAGGCACUAUCAGCAUUGACAUGUACAUGUGAUUUUAAGCAAGAACCAGGAGAGUGAGAGUUUUAGUGUGCCGUAUUUAGAAUUUGCCGAUAUCUUUUUCCCGUUUCAGCAAGUAUUCCUGAUAGUGGGG